GACGAACGCUGGCGGCGUGCCUAACACAUGCAAGUCGAACGGAAAGGCCCUGCUUUCGUGGGGUGCCCGAGGGGCGAACGGGGGAGUAACACGUGAGUAUCCUGCUCUUGACUUUGGGAGAACUUCAGGAAACGGGGGCUACUACCGGAUAGGAGCUCCCGCUGCAGGGUGGGGGGGGGAAAGUCUCGGCGGGUGGGGAUGGACGCGCGGCUUAUCGGCUUGUUGGUGGGGUAGGGGCUUACCAAGGCAUUGGAGGGUAGCCGGCCGGGGAGGGUGGCCGGCCACCUUGCGACUGAGGUACGGCCCAGUCUGCUACGGGGGGCAACGGUGGGGAGUCUUGCCCAGUGAGCGGACGCCUGAUGCAGCAGCGCCGCGUGCGGGAUGACGGCCUUCGGGUUGUGAACCGCUUUCGCUUGUGACGAAGCGUGAGUGACGGUAAUGAAUAAAGAAGCACCGGCUAACUACGUG
Molecule: ribosomal RNA, 468 nt
Filed under: uncultured bacterium
Lineage: Bacteria
Description: partial 16S ribosomal RNA
Rfam family: Bacterial small subunit ribosomal RNA
Source: RNAcentral